AUUGAGAGCCAGGCCUAGAGAUGGGAAGUUCUGGUUUCAAAUCUGGACUCAGACACUUCCUAGCUGUGUGACCCUGGACAAGUCAUUUAACCCCCAUUGUCUAGCCCUUACCACUCUUCUACCUUAGAACUAAUCACAGUACUGAUUCUAAGACAGAAGGUGAGGGUUUAGAAAAAAGAAUCAUAGAAUGUAAGAAAACAGAGCAUAAUAUGCCAGAACUAAGGUGAAACUUAGAACACAAAAUGGCACAACUGAGAGGCAGGGAGAAUAGAAUAUAGAGUAUAGAAGGGCAGAUCUAAGUGAGACCUGAGACAUUGAAUGUCAGAGCCAUGCAGGCCUUUCCAACAUAGACAAUGGCAGAGCUAAGAAGGGCCUUAGAACCAGAUCUCUAACUAGAAAUCAUUUCAUCUGGGGCAAAUCCAGGCUUUUGGGGGGUGGAGGAGGGCAAAAAAUGCAUAAAACACACCAAUAAUGUAUGUAAUCAUUCAGGGUGAUGGAUGCGUCUCACCCCAGAGAGAUGGGAUAUAGGGAGGAAGAGGUCUCAGCAAAACAACAGAACUUGCUACCACUUCAUAUCACUCAAGCUGGCAAACCUUACCCAUCCUCAACCCAGUCUAGACCCCAAGGAGAAGGAGAAGGAAAAGGAGAAGGAGAAGGAGAAGGAGAAGGAGAAGGAGAAGAAGGAGAAGGAUAUUCAUCAAACACUGAGUGUUACCCAACUUUUGUGGGUCCUCCUCCUGACACAGGAACCCUCAAAAACUGGCAGGGGCAGUGCCAAAAGGGAAGUGAACCACUGAGAGAACUAGAAGAGGAAGAAGGACCAGGACCAGGUGAGCAGACUCCCAAGCUGCAGCAGAGGGAAAAACAAGAUUGAUAUGUUAUUCCCAUGAAUAUUUUAGGGCAUCCUACUGAGGACAGCCAGAAGGUGUGUGUGUCGUGUGUGUGUGUGUGUGUGUGUGUGUGUGUGUGUGUGUGUGUGUGUGUGUGUGUGUGUGUUGAAGAAAGAAAGAGAGAGAAGAAAGAAAGGAUGAGAGAAGGUAAAAAAGAGAGGAGGGAACGUGAAAGAGAGGGAGGGAGGGAGAGAGAGACAGACAGACAGACAGACCGACAGACAAAGAGAGAGACAGAGAGACAGAGAGAGAGACAGAGAGAGAGAGUUAGAGAGAGAGGACAGACAGAGACAGAGACAGAGAGACAGAGAUAGAUAGAGACAGACAGACAGAGACAGAGAGACAGAGAGACAGACAGAGAGGACAGAGAGAGACAGACAAAGAGACAGAGAGACAGAGAGAGACAGAGAGAGAGACAGACAGACAGACAGACAAAGAGACAGAGACAGACAGACAGACAGACAGAUAGAG
Molecule: long non-coding RNA, 1361 nt
Filed under: Monodelphis domestica (gray short-tailed opossum)
Lineage: Eukaryota; Metazoa; Chordata; Mammalia; Didelphimorphia; Didelphidae
Description: lncRNA (ENSMODG00000038084.1)
Source: RNAcentral